This 775-nucleotide ribosomal RNA is filed under the name uncultured Neocallimastigales. RNAcentral's name for it is "partial large subunit ribosomal RNA". It matches the Rfam family "Eukaryotic large subunit ribosomal RNA", at positions 23 to 635 of the family's 3401-position model. The record is from RNAcentral. Lineage: Eukaryota; Fungi; Neocallimastigomycota; Neocallimastigomycetes; Neocallimastigales.
AGACUCUGUGCGCGUGCAUAUCAAUAAGCGGAGGAAAAGAAACUAACAAGGAUUCCCCUAGUAACGGCGAGUGAAGCGGGAAGAGCUCAAAUUUUGAAAUCUUAAAGGGUUUCCCUUUACGAAUUGUAGUUUAAAGAAGUGUUUUCUGUUGGAGUUUCGGUAAAAGUUCUUUGGAAUAGGACAUCAUAGAGGGUGAGAAUCCCGUAUUUGACCGUUACUUUCCAGCUGUGUGAUACACUUUCAAAGAGUCGGAUUGUUUGGGAAUGCAGUCCAAAAUGGGUGGUAAAUUUCAUCUAAAGCUAAAUAUUGGCGAGAGACCGAUAGCGAACAAGUACCGUGAGGGAAAGAUGAAAAGAACUUUGAAAAGAGAGUUAAACAGUACGUGAAAUUGUCAAAAGGGAAGCGUUUGACACCAGUGUUGUUUAGUUGAAAAUCAAUUCAAUAAUUUUUGAUUUUGAGUGGUAUUGACUUCAUCAGCUUGCUGCUUUCUUUUCGGAAAUUAUUGAAUGCACUUUUCAGUUAACAAGUCAACAUCAAUUUCUUUUGUUGUAAAAGGGUAAGAGGAAGGUGGCUUACGCUUCGGCGUAAGUGUUUAUAGCCUUUUACCUCUGCAAUCGGAGAGAUUGAGGACAGCAGCGUAGACUCUUCGGGGUUAGAUACACUUGUGCUAAGCUAUAGCCUUGUAUAGACAACUUGUUGACUAUGCUCAGUCAUGUAGCUUACUCGCUUGUGCUAUUUUACCUACGCUUAGGAUGUUGAAGAUGUAGCACAUCAU